Molecule: ribosomal RNA, 379 nt
Filed under: uncultured bacterium
Lineage: Bacteria
Description: bacterial SSU rRNA
Rfam family: Bacterial small subunit ribosomal RNA
Source: RNAcentral
UAAUACAGAGGUCUCGAGCGUUAAUCGGAAUCACUGGGCUUAAAGCGUACGUAGGCGGAUCUGCAGGCAUCGUGUGAAAUCCCAGGGCUCAACCCUGGAACUGCACGGUGAACCGCAGGUCUUGAGGCAAGUAGGGGCUGUCGGAACGCUCGGUGGAGUGGUGAAAUGCGUUGAUAUCGAGCGGAACGCCGAAGGUGAAGACAGGCAGCUGGGCUUGCACUGACGCUGAGGUACGAAAGCGUGGGUAGUGAACGGGAUUAGAUACCCCGGUAAUCCACGCCGUAAACGAUGUGCACUAGAUCGAGGGUGGCUCUGACGUCAUUCUUGGUCGAAGAAAAAUUGAUAAGUGCACCGCCUGGGGAGUACGGUCGCAAGGCUA